CCUUGUACACACCGCCCGUCAAGUCAUGGAAGCCGCCAGUGCCUUAAGUCGCCCGAUCACUCGGGUGCCCACGGCAAGGGUGGUGACUGGGACU
RNAcentral lists this ribosomal RNA (94 nucleotides) under uncultured bacterium. RNAcentral's name for it is "partial 16S ribosomal RNA". It matches the Rfam family "Bacterial small subunit ribosomal RNA", at positions 1379 to 1482 of the family's 1533-position model. The record is from RNAcentral.